UCGAUUGAUCGGGCGAUCGGUUGGUUGGUCGGUCGGUCAGUCGGUUGGUCAGUCGGUCGGUCAGUCAGUCGGUUGGUUGGUCAUUC
Molecule: non-coding RNA, 86 nt
Organism: Podarcis lilfordi (Lilford's wall lizard)
Lineage: Eukaryota; Metazoa; Chordata; Lepidosauria; Squamata; Lacertidae
Source: the annotation of a GenBank genome assembly